AUUCAUAAGAAGCCUCGGAGUUGUAGGCUAGCAUAAGCCAUUGCACAUUUUAUGCACAAUUUUACCCAAUCAAUAGUACAAUUCUUAUAAGGACAUCAUCGAACACCAUGAUUAGCGUUGAUACUACUUCCCGACAUUACUAACAUCAUCGCAACAAGAAUAUAAACAAAAUAAAUUCCUUGAUACCAUUCUUGUUACCAACUAAAACCCGAUUAAUAUUUUCAAUGUUGUUAUAGUCCUUUAAACAAAAUACCCUCACGAAAAAGUAAAAAGAAAAAAGAAAAAAAAAGUAGUGAAAUAAAAUACAUUAAUGCCCUCAUUAUAACUUAACUCCAAAGCCUAAACAAAGAGGGCAAAGUUGACAAUUACCUCAAAUUCCCUCUUUAAAAUAGCAGAAAGGGGGCAUAAAUUAGGGUUCAUACGAUUGAAUGAGGCAGGAAGAGGCCAUGGGAGUUUCCCGAGGACCGUUUUGCCCCUCUUCCAUGAUAACCACCGUCUACGGUGGUCAUCUUUAGCCGAUGAUUUCUUCUACCACCAUUAAAACGGCCCUCAAAGCGGGAAAUACAACUGAUAUUUCUUCAUUAUUACUCCGUAUUUUAUUACUACUCCAUACUACGUACUACAACUACAAGUAUACGCCUUUUCUUCUUCUUCUUCUUCUUCCCCUUUUCACUCUCAAAAAAAAAAAAAAAAUGUUAAGGACCCUUUGAGGCUGUGAUGAAUUUGAAUCUAAAGUAAUCAAAUUCAAUUUGGUUUUCUGGGUUUUUCUUGGAAAUUGAUUUUCUUUUCCAAUUGGUUUGGCAGCAACUUCAGGGUUUUGUUUGCCGCCAUUUGUGUAAUUGAUUUUCUCUUUCUGGAAAAUUAUCCCCCAAACUGUUUGAUGAAAUGCAGAUCUGAGCCUCCUCCAUUGAAGCGCACUCUGAGUUCUCCGUUAAAGCGGCUUCUGAGCUUUCUCUCACUCCAUUGAAACAGUUUUUGAGGUAAGAUGGUUUUUGUUUGUAAUCAUUGAAUAUCAAUUUCCCAUUGAAGCGCAUUCAACGUUCUCCAUUGAAUCUACUUCUGAUAUUUCUAUCUUCCAUUGAAGCAGCUUCUGAGGUUAAGUUGUUGUAAUCAUCGAAUAUCAAUUUCACAAUCUAGGGUUUAUCGUUGAUUUAAUAUUAAGAUUGAGGCAGGGAGAGGUCAUGGGAGUUUCCCGAGGACAGUUUUGCCCCUCUCCUUAGACGACCACCGUUAACGGCGGCCGUUUUUUGCCGGUGAUUUCUCCGACAACCGUUAAAACUGUCCUCAGCUCUAACCAACUGUCUAUCUGUCUGUGAACUGUGAGUUGUGAACUGUGAUUGUAACUUUGCAGUCUGCAUGCACCUUAAUCUUAUGAACCACCAACAUUUAUCAAUCUUUAGAGGCUAUGAUGAGUUUAAACUGUUCAAAGUAGUCAAAUUUAAUCCGGGUUUGUAGAAUUUUUCGAGGUUUUUGAAUGAUUUUUCCCAUUUGGCUUGGCAGAAAGAUCAAAUGUUGGUUUGUUUACGAAGAUCAAAGCUAGUCUUCAACAUGAUGCUUAACUUGCAUUUUCUCAUUUAUUUUAUUUUAUUUUUAUUUUGUGGGGUUGGUUCAGUUGGAAUUUAUUUGUGUUCGAUUUGAUUGAUUUGCCGCCAUGGUUGAUUUUCCCACCUCGAAAUUUUCCACCUGAUUGUUUGAUGAAAUGAGGGUCUGAGCCUCCUCCAUUGAAGUGUACUCUGAAUUCUCUAUUGAAGCGCCUUCUGAGCUAUCUCUCACUCUCUCCUUCAUUAGCGUACUCUGAAUUCGCCGUUGUAAUGUGUUGUGACUUAGUAAGCUUUCUCUUUUCUAUCGGAGGAGCUUCUGAGGUAAGAUGUUUUUCUUAAUCAGUGAAUAUCAGUAUUCAUAAUCUAGGGUUUGUCGUUGAUAAUACCAAGAAUGAGGCAGGGAGAGGUCAUGGGAGUUUCCUGAGGACCGUUUUGCCCCUCUCCUGAGAGGACCAUUGUUUACAACGGUUGUCUUUCGCCGGUGAUUUAUAUGGACACUAUUAAAACGGUCCUCAAACCAUCGGAUGCCAGAACCUUAGCUGCUUUAUCUGUCUCUGUGAGCUGUGACUGUAUAACUCUGCUGACUGCAUGCUCUUGAUCUUCCAACACCAAAAAUCACCAACCAUUAGAGGCUGUGAUGAGUGUAAACCGUUCAAAGUAGUCUAAUUUAAUUUUGGUUUGGAGAAUUUUUUUGAGGUUUUGGGUAAUUUUUUCCAUUGGCUUGGCAGAAAGAUCAAAUAUUCCAAUGUUACAAAUAAUAUGAAGCGGAGGUAGUAUUAUUUUUGUUUUGUGGUUUUUUUUGGUUGGAAUUUGGAAAUUAUUUGUUCCAAUUUGAUUGAUUUGCCGCCAUGGUUGAUUUUCCCACCUCGAAAUUCUCCACCGGAUUGUUUGAUGAAAUGUGGAUCUGAGCCUCUUGUUUGAGAAAAAUAAAAUGGAAGCUGCAUUGUUGAAAUUUGGUAAUACUUCUACAAUUUUACAAUUUUUUUUAAUUGUUUGUUGUUUUGGGAGUAUAUGACGUGAAGAUUAUAUCAAUAUCAAGAUUAUAUUGAUAAAAAGACAUGAACUGUUUGAUGCAUGUGAUUUUGGAAUUUUGAUUUGAGAAAGUUUUGAAAAUAGAAAUGAGUAAUAUAUUUUGGGAAGGAGAGAGUGGUUGAUUAUUGAAGGGGGAAGCUUCUGCUAUUGGCUUGGCAGCACAAAGCCUACGAGCUUUGCUUGGCUUGCCGCCUUAGUAUUGAGCUGAUACCGUAUCUAAGCCUGUCUAUCAAACACGCAACCUUCUGAAUUUCAUUCCAAUGCUCUGCAACUGAAUUUUUAACUUUUCAUAUCCUAGCAUUUCCUUUUUUCAUGGUAAUGUCUUUUAAGACAAUUAUUGGAGGCAGUGAAGACUUUUUGGGGUAUAUUUCCAUUAUUUUACACUAAGGCUUUGUUUUUUUAGUUUUGUUGAUGACAAUUGAAGUAGUGCUAUCUUAAAUGGAGAGGUAUGUGGAUUUUGUGGGAUCAGAGGGCAAAGCUGAUUUUUCAUCAACUUGACUUGAGAGUUUCCAGUUGACAAAGAUGAAUUCGAAGCUUGUGAGUCUAGUGUCAUUCAAAAAACUAAUUGGAGGCAGUGAUGGCUAUUAUUAGACUAAAGGCAUGUUCUUUUCACCUAAAACUUCCACUUGUCUAGUCUUAUUUUUCUUAUCUGAACGUGCAUGUACUUAAUAGAUGUGGAACUGAUUUUCUUAAGGUAAAAAAGUGGGGAUUGCGGUAAUCAGGCUUCAAGAGAAGGCCUGGAGGGCGUUGCAUGUGCUUGGCAGGGCAGCAUAUGGAAACUCUUAACUUGAGUUUUGCUUGCUUUGCCAUCAUUGAUUAACUAGGGACUAUUUGAAAAAUAAUUCUAUAGAAAAGAACAGUGUCUUUCAUUGCCUGAUGAAGGCCAAAUCUGAGCCUCGUUGUUUCUCCCUUUUUUGAAAAGAAAAUAUCUGAUUUCAGGGGGUGGUUCUAACAGCCCUUCUACUGGUUUAGUGGCAGAGGUAGAGGUAUUCUCACUUUCUUUUAUGUCUUCCUUUGACGUCAUGGUAUCCACCACUAGUUUCAGUGUAACGUAAUAUUGGCAAGGCAAAGUGGGGUUUGCUAUUUCUGCUGUGCUACGAUAUCAACUUUACCCUAGAGAGUAGAGAGCCUCUACCCUCCUUAUGGCAAGGCAAAGUAGGGAGUAGAAGGUUUUGCAGCUGUGUGUCACCAUGAUAGCAGAGUGGUAUAUUUCUGUAGACCUUCGUUCCAAACUUGGCACCAUAGUGGUGUUUCAUGCUUUGCCAGCACCAUACUGCGACUGUGGAACUGUCAAUCUGCAUCAUCUUCAAUUUGUGGCAUGGGGAUAAAGUGUUUGCAGCUGAAACAAAUCAGCUUUUUAAUUUUCAGCGUUCAGGGGGUGAUCAAGUAUUCAAGUGGCAGCAUUUUAAUUAUUUGUUAAUUUUACCCUAAGCCUUUUGAAAUUGUUUUGUGCUAGGUAUUUAACUAUUUUUCUGUAAUGAAAAUCGCUGAACUGUGUUGUAAUUUUGUUGGUUAAUAAGACAAUUACUCUUGAAAUGC
Long non-coding RNA from Chenopodium quinoa (quinoa), 4112 nucleotides. RefSeq lists it as uncharacterized. NCBI's taxonomy places the organism in Eukaryota, Viridiplantae, Streptophyta, Magnoliopsida, Caryophyllales, Amaranthaceae. The record is from RefSeq and is a predicted model, not a curated record. The transcript has 2 exons.